This 650-nucleotide long non-coding RNA is filed under the name Gossypium barbadense (sea-island cotton). RNAcentral describes it as "long non-coding RNA (GBAR_LNC011674)". The record is from RNAcentral. Lineage: Eukaryota; Viridiplantae; Streptophyta; Magnoliopsida; Malvales; Malvaceae.
AAAAAAAGGGGAGGGCUCUCUCAUUUCUCUCUGGCCAAAGCAAGAAUCUGGCGAGGAAACCGUCGUAGGGUCACCGCCGGCCCUCCGAAAGGUACUUUUUUAUAUUUUUUUGUAUUUUUUAAAUAUGUUUGUAAUAUUCGUAUAUUUGCAAGGAAAUAGAUUCAGAAAUAAGAAAGAAAUAAAAUAAAAUCACCUUAGGUUUUCGGGUUUGAUUUUCGGUAUUUUUCUCUGAUUUGAGACCAUCCCCUGUUUUGGUGUUGCUAAAGUCACUAUUUCACUUGUAUUUUAAAAUCGAAUGCUUCGUAUUUGCAAAGAAAAAAUUGCCAAAUGUUACAAAAAAUUUUGGCUUGGCUUUUUAAAGUCAUUUUACAUGCUUUGUUUAUCACUUUCUGUCUCUUAUUCAUUUAAUUUUGCAGGUGCAAGUGAGCGACAAGGCGAUGGAGCAAGUGGGCAAGUGCGGCUGGUGGCAGAAGGUUAGCUAGGGUUUCAGCCUUUCUGGAACCCUAGUUUAACUAAUGGGUCAAUUGGGCUUGGGCUAUUAGGUUUAAUUUGUAAAUGGACAUUUUGGAUUGUUUUUGUAUUUGUCUAAUUUAGGCUUGGGCCGGCAAUUUUGUCACAUAAUCUAUGCAUCAUCUUAUCUUAAACCCAAU